Long non-coding RNA from Oncorhynchus tshawytscha (Chinook salmon), 1305 nucleotides. The record is from Ensembl. NCBI's taxonomy places the organism in Eukaryota, Metazoa, Chordata, Actinopteri, Salmoniformes, Salmonidae.
UCCAGUCUCAUUACAUUUUAAUGACCAAAAACAGGACAUUUCUACCUUUAGAUUUUGUGGCAUAGAGAAAGUAAAGAUAUCAGACAGGGGAGGGGAUAUACAGUAAACAACACUCUGAGCAAAAUAUGUUUUUGGAUUUUCACCCUCCAGACAUUAUUCCUAAAAGGUCUUUAUGAUGAAAUUCCAAUGCAUGGUACUUGAAUAUGAACAUGAACUAAUGCCACCACUUCAACCUACUCUGGCAUUUUUUUCUUGCACUGUAUGUACUGUACACAAGGAAAACUUACUUGAUAGAUUGAUUUCCUCAUUGUGGUUUUACAUAAGUGUUUAAUACAUUUUAUGUACACACUUUAUUAGAAUACUUAUGAAAUGAACAUUGUUAUAUUUGGUAUCACGUUUAUUUCCCCUUGACUCCAACCUCAUUUGCUGCAUUGAAAGGAUGUGGGUGGAGCAAUGUCUACAUAAGGGAGCAAAUGAAAAACACUCAUUAAAGCUCUGAUGAAGACCUCGAGGACGAUACGUUAAGCUUAAUAAAAUGCAGCGAUACUACCAAGAGCAGUGUGCGGGUUUCUUCUUUUCUCUCUCAUGUUAUUCAGUUGUUACCAUGCACCUGCUACAAAGAUAGCUCAGAUGUGCCUUUUGAAUGGAGGUCAUAAUAAUAGAAUCCGAUAUAGAACUCAACUCCUUUAUAGAAAAUAUAUAAAUAUUACAUCACAGAUUAAUGUUCAGAUAUAUUUGAGAAAAAAGUCAAAUUCAGGUGACAAAAUUCUAUUGUGAAAACAGAUAUGCUUAGAUAUAUACCAGAUGGUAAUUUGAAGGAAUUUGACAAAGACAAUUUUAAUAUUAAGGUAUUAAAACAAAUACACAUGCACCACUGUUGUUAGUAAUAACAUAUCUCAGUACUGCAGAGCUCUCUCUUAGUAAUAAAACAUCUCAGUACUGCAGAGCUCUCUCUCUUUACAAGGCAGAUGAGAAUGAGCUCUACCCCUCAGGCCUGGUUCCUCUCAACCAAUAUCCUCUCCCUACAGUAUACCUUGCUUGGGGGUGGGGGGGGUGCAUAAAUGACUCUGUCCCAAUACUUUUGUAGCUUUGUACUUCAUCUGAUUGAAUGCAAGUUAAUAUGUGCAACGUUUGCUUGUUUUCCCUCAUUUUAAAUGUACAUUUCAUUUAAAACAUCUCCAACAGUUCAAACAUGUUUCUCUCUUCUUGGUCAUUUGUCUCAAUGUAACAGAUAUGGAAUCAUGUAGUGAGAGCCUUCAAACCCCAUGUUUCUGCUCCUCAGUUACUCCACCAGGAAGACCACCA